Molecule: ribosomal RNA, 895 nt
Filed under: uncultured Chloroflexota bacterium
Lineage: Bacteria; Bacillati; Chloroflexota
Description: bacterial SSU rRNA
Rfam family: Bacterial small subunit ribosomal RNA
Source: RNAcentral
AGAGUUUGAUCCUGGCUCAGGAUAAACGCUGGCGGCGUGCCUAACACAUGCAAGUCGAACGCGCAGCCCUGGUGGAAACGCUGGGGUGGGCGAGUGGCGAACGGGUGCGUAACACGUAGGAACCUGCCCUCAGGUGGGGGAUAACGGCUGGAAACGGCUGCUAAUCCCGCAUAGUCUCCAUCAGGGGAACCUGGUGGAGUAAAACUCUGGUGCCUGGGGAUGGGCCUGCGGCCUAUCAGGUAGUUGGUGGGGUAACGGCUCACCAAGCCGAUGACGGGUGGGGGGCGUGAGAGCGUGGCCCCCCACACGGGAACUGAGACACGGUCCCGACGCCUACGGGCGGCAGCAGUGAGGAAUCUUGCACAAUGGGGGCAACCCUGAUGCAGCGACGCCGCGUGCGGGAGGAAGGCCUUCGGGUCGUAAACCGCUUUUCUGGGGGACGAGUAAGGACGGUACCCCAGGAAUAAGUCCCGGCUAACUACGUGCCAGCAGCCGCGGUAAGACGUAGGGGGCGAGCGUUAUCCGGAAUCACUGGGCGUAAAGGGCGUCUAGGCGGCGGGCUAAGUCCCGCGUGAAAGCUCCUGGCUCAACUAGGAGAGGUCGCGGGAAACUGGCUGGCUAGAGACUCGGAGAGGGGUGUGGAAUUCCCGGUGGAGUGGUGAAAUGCGUUGAGAUCGGGAGGAACACCAGAGGCGAAGGCGGCACCCUGGCCGAGGUCUGACGCUGAAGCGCGAGAGCGUGGGGAGCGAACGGGAUUAGAUACCCCGGUAGUCCACGCCGUAAACGAUGACAACUAGGUGUUGGGCGUCCAAGGACGCUCGGUGCCGCAGCCAACGCGAUAAGUUGUCCGCCUGGGGAGUACGGCCGCAAGGCUAAAACUCAAAGGAAUUGACGG